This 465-nucleotide ribosomal RNA is filed under the name Vreelandella stevensii. RNAcentral describes it as "partial 16S ribosomal RNA". It matches the Rfam family "Bacterial small subunit ribosomal RNA", at positions 338 to 795 of the family's 1533-position model. Lineage: Bacteria; Pseudomonadati; Pseudomonadota; Gammaproteobacteria; Oceanospirillales; Halomonadaceae. The record is from RNAcentral.
CCUGCGGGUGGCUGCAGUGGGGAAUAUUGGACAAUGGGCGAAAGCCUGAUCCAGCCAUGCCGCGUGUGUGAAGAAGGCCUUCGGGUUGUAAAGCACUUUCAGUGGGGAAGAAAGCCUUGGGGCUAAUACCCUCGAGGAAGGACAUCACCCACAGAAGAAGCACCGGCUAACUCCGUGCCAGCAGCCGCGGUAAUACGGAGGGUGCGAGCGUUAAUCGGAAUUACUGGGCGUAAAGCGCGCGUAGGCGGUCUGAUAAGCCGGUUGUGAAAGCCCCGGGCUCAACCUGGGAACGGCAUCCGGAACUGUCAGGCUAGAGUGCAGGAGAGGAAGGUAGAAUUCCCGGUGUAGCGGUGAAAUGCGUAGAGAUCGGGAGGAAUACCAGUGGCGAAGGCGGCCUUCUGGACUGACACUGACGCUGAGGUGCGAAAGCGUGGGUAGCAAACAGGAUUAGAUACCCCAGUAGUC